This 2477-nucleotide long non-coding RNA is filed under the name Sus scrofa (pig). RNAcentral describes it as "lncRNA (ENSSSCG00025063002.1)". The record is from RNAcentral. Lineage: Eukaryota; Metazoa; Chordata; Mammalia; Artiodactyla; Suidae.
GUUCUGUCAAAUUUUGCUGUAUAGAGGACUCAUUUACUUGGUCACAGUUAUUCCUUGUGUGUGCUGUCGAGUUACUUCCCUGAUUGUGUCUUCCAGAGGCUGGCAUUAAAAAUUGAGGUUCGUUCUUCCCAACUCAAGAAUGGUGACGGUGAGGCCUGCAGAUCCAGGAGAAACAGCAAAAUUAGCGUCUUUCUAGAAAAGUGUUGGAACAGGCGCGCGAUCCUCCACGCAGCAUGGAAGUGUGUCCUUACUGUAAGAAGCCGUUUAAGCGCUUGAAGUCCCACUUGCCGCACUGUAAGAUGCUACGACCACCUGUGCCUGCUGAUCAGGAUGUUUGUCAGUCCAAGCCGGCUGCACUCCCACAUGCUAAGAAAGUCAAAGGGCCGGUCAGAGACCCAAUUAAAGCUAGAGAGAGAGAGUUAGGGACAGACCACGAAAAAAGAAAUCCUGGCCUGAAAGGGGACAAGUCAGAGCGGACAGGUAAGUCCUCUCUGCUGCUAGCCAUUGAUUUGAAAAAAGCAAGUAGCGCAAAGGCUGAUAAAGACAUCAGGGAUCAAGUUCAGCCCUCCCUCAAGAUGUUAAAAAACACUGCAACAGAGAUCACUUUCCACGAAGAACCUACAGCCCCGUUUUCUGCAUCCGAGAACAUCACUCACAAAAAAGGACUUCCUGAAGAUUUGCCUAAAUCAGGGGAAGGUCGAAAUAACCCUUCAGAAACUGAGGCAUCUUUAUUUCUUGGCCCAGUGGAACCUUCUUUGUCAAGUCAAGAUAGAAAAUACUGUUCAGCUUUCCCUAAUGAUGUGCAAACCACUUGUGCUAACUUAAGAUUGGACAGAAUUGAUGCCCCAAGACAGAACCUUCGUGUAAAAUUGCAAACUGUUCCUUUCGGGGAUCAUCACAGUUCUCCAGGGGAUCUCGAUUGCGAUGGUAGGAGAGUAAGCACAUCAUGGCCAAGCAGGGUGAGAGUGCCCAAGGCCGGGGAGCCCCUCUCAGGAGUUGCUACUGAUCUUGGUGACACCAGAACUCAGGAAAAGAACACAGAACCACGAAUUGCAGCUUUUAAAGUUAGCCCAUUAGGUGCCAUCCAAGUCAGGGAGAACCAGGACCAAGGACUUAACCUUGCAACAGAGGCACAGGGGAGCAGUGGAAAUGCGGAGAACUGUGUCUUUGUGACAGAAAUACAGCGCUGGGCUCCCUUGAAUGAUGACCCUAAGAAGGCCUUUAGUAUCAAUGAUUCAGUCACGGCGAAGAACCCUCGCGGGGAAGGUCCCAAUAUAGACUUGAUCACGCCGCAGGAGACAGCUUGCAGGGAGCUUCUCUCUGCGUCACAGUCACGCAAUCCAAGUCUUGUCUCCCUGGCAAUACAAUUUCUCCAGGAAGGGAAGGCAGAAGCCUGCAGCCCUGCCGGCAAAGCAUCAGCAGAGCAUGAGGAGCAAGCUUCUCUGGCUCCCAGCUCGGGCUGUCGGCCCCAAGCAUUGCACCCCGGGGGCCAGCUGUCUCUGUGUUCAGCCCAGCCUCAUGCUGCUAAAAACCCCUUGGCCAGGAAGACCCUAUCAAGUGCCCUGGGGCUGGAGUGGUUUCCAGAGCUCUAUCCUGGCUAUCUUGGACUCGGUGUAUUGCCAGGGAAGCCUCAGCUUUGGAGCGCAGUGGCCCAGAAGCCUCUGCUCAUCAGCCCCCAGGGGGAAAGGCUUUCCCAAGGAGUUGAAGGUUGGACCGGGACAGGCUGGCCGGUGAUGUUGGUAACAGUUGAACCUCUACACUGCGAGAAGGCAUGACCUCUUCUAGAAGUUGAGUGGGCAUUCAUGCCGAACAGACACAGAAAAAGCAUAGAUUUCAGGGUCUGCCUAAAAACAAGACAAGCCCUGUGCUUAAGAUUUCAUCCAGGACCAGGUUGGACACAAAAUGGACUCCAGGCUCCGGGGUGUCAUCAUUUAUCUUUCCUACGUGGAACUACGCCAGUGCAGCUAGCGAGUCCUCCUACGUCAGGGUACCUGAGAAGACUUCAGUGGCCAGUCCACCAGGUGGAAAGUCAUCCAGGACCUUGGUUUUGAAGAAACAGGGUAGAACCAGUAGCACUCAUGGCUGAUUGAUGAAAAAUGGUUCCUUUGUUGGAAAGAAGUUCGACGGCAGUAAGGAGUUUGGAACCCUCGACCGAGCUCACAGCCUCCAGCUUCUCUCUAUUGAGGAUCUUGGGAGCUGUCCAGAAAGGCUGGAUCAGGUGCAGCACCACUAUGAAGAGCGGGGUCGGAGGCAUCACGAUGCUCUUCGCAGGGUACUUCGUCCUUUGUUGUAGCUGGAGCUUCAAGCAUCUGAAGCUGCAGCGCUGGCGUAAGCAGCACUGACCUGGACACCACUUAGAGAGCUUUGGCGCCCCAAGAAGAGGAUGGUGGAGACAGCGGCAGUGCCUCUUGAACAGCGCAAAAUUGUAUGGGGGCAGGGAGAGGGAGCGAAAGGAAUAAACUAUUGGAAUUUAACAA